RNAcentral lists this ribosomal RNA (468 nucleotides) under uncultured bacterium. RNAcentral's name for it is "partial 16S ribosomal RNA". It matches the Rfam family "Bacterial small subunit ribosomal RNA", at positions 28 to 507 of the family's 1533-position model. The record is from RNAcentral.
GACGAACGCUGGCGGCGUGCUUAACACAUGCAAGUCGAACGGAAAGGCCCUGCUUUUGUGGGGUGCUCGAGUGGCGAACGGGUGAGUAACACGUGAGUAACCUGCCCUUGACUUUGGGAUAACUUCAGGAAACUGGGGCUAAUACCGGAUAGGAGCUCCUGCUGCAUGGUGGGGGUUGGAAAGUUUCGGCGGUUGGGGAUGGUCGGGCGGCUUAUCCGCUAGUUGGGGGGGUAGUGGCUUCCCAAGGCUUUGAAGGGUAGCCGGCCUGGGAGGGUGACCAGCCACAUUGGGACUGAGGUAGGGCCCAGACUCCAACGGGAGGCAGCAGGGGGGAAUAUUGCACAAUGGGCGGAAGCCUGAUGCAGCAACGCCGCGUGCGGGAUGACGUCCUUCGGGUUGUAAACCGCUGUCGCCUGUGACGAAGCGUGAGUGACGGUAAUGGGUAAAGAAGCACCGGCUAACUACGUG